Molecule: ribosomal RNA, 798 nt
Filed under: Triticum aestivum (bread wheat)
Lineage: Eukaryota; Viridiplantae; Streptophyta; Magnoliopsida; Poales; Poaceae
Description: partial small subunit ribosomal RNA
Source: RNAcentral
AUGUAUUCUCUUCAAGGAGAGGCUGUUGGGAGGAGAGGCUGUUUGUUCGAGAAGGAGAUGCCGCAGGAACAGUUGCAAAGGCGCGUGUGCUCUUUGAGGGCCAACAAAACUCGGUCUAUUGGCGUGGAUCCCUUUAUGUGCAUUGUCAAAAGUGAUUUUGUUAUGAGAAUAUCUUUGUCUGAAGAUAAGUACAGUGUGAUUAAGCCACCAAUGGAUAUUGGGUGGAGCAGUUAUCUAGGAUUAUCUGAAAAAGGUGUGUAUUGUGCAUCAUUUGUUGAGAAUACUCACAUUCGGGUUUACGCCCUCACUGAAUCGUGUGAUCAGUUUGAGUGGAUAUUAAAGAACGACUAUGACCUUAAGCCUGUGCAAAUGUUUGAUGGCCAAGUUAAUGGACCCUGGAUCUUAGAAGACAUUAACUAUGAAAAAUUUCGUUCUCAUCUACCAAAUAUCAACAAGGAAGAAGUAAUUCAAGAGAAAUUUGAGUGGAACUCUGAUGAUGACGAUUUCCAUGAGAACCUAGACAUUGUUGAAGUGCAACAUCGUCCAUAUUUUGAGAUUGAGGUACUUGGAUUUCACCCAUACAAAGAGAUUCUUUUUUUGAGUAGGUCAGAGGACUGUAAAUUGAAUGCAAUGGCGUUUGCCUAUCAUUUGAAUAGCUUCAAGGUUGAAAAUUUAGGUAGCAUAUACCCGACAGGUCAUGACUAUUUCAGCUGCAGCAUUCCUAAUGAAUCUCAUGAGAUUGAUUCUUUUCCAUACACACCAUGUUGGAUCGAAGAGACCCCAGAAAGAGUGAAUUAA